Rhipicephalus microplus (southern cattle tick) is the source of this 1524-nucleotide long non-coding RNA. RefSeq lists it as uncharacterized. NCBI's taxonomy places the organism in Eukaryota, Metazoa, Arthropoda, Arachnida, Ixodida, Ixodidae. The record is from RefSeq and is a predicted model, not a curated record.
AACAUGACACAGACAGAGCCGGUGCAGUCAGAAUUGUGCGAAACGUUCGGCCACGUUGGAGGAAAGGAAAUCAUUAUGAACACCUUCUGGAUAUCACAAGUGACAAGCAGCAACAAAGGUUAUCAACGACAGAAGGGAGUGGUGCGAGCGGUAAUCGUGUGAUGCUCCCUGGCAGCGAACGACACAUUGUGAUCUCACGAGUGUUGAGAGACCCGGCGGUAGCUGGUGCGGCGAAAAAAUGUCAUGCUGCCGUGGCUGUAAAUGCAGUUUUUUCUGGCAGAAGACGGGAGUGCGAACGGUGCUGAGACGUAGUUUUGACCUGGGAAUUGAAACAACGCUGACCUGUGCGCGGAAAAGAGAAAAGAAAAAUUAAAAAAGGAAGAACUGGCACGUUGUGACGCUACCAGGUGCAUCACCUUGUGUGGCCUUCGGACGUGCGUUCGUACGGACCUUUGUGUUGAGUAAACUGGUCAGCCAUCCCUGAUUUCUGUGUGUGCCUUUUAUUGCUUAUUUAUUUUGUUACGUUCUGUGAACUUUUCCUUAUUUCGUGCUUGAAGCUGUUCGUCUUGAAAUACAUGCUCAUACAAUAACUAGAUUAAAAAUGUUCACAACGACGAGUAUCAAAUCAAAGCAGGUAAUGAAAAAGAACAAUGCCAACUUACCUCAAAAAUUAUUUUUCAAAGGAGAUAAAGGUAGGCUUCUCUUAAAGACAGGCUGCAGCAAUGCAAAGUGUUAGGGCCCACUUUGCUAGAAGUACGACAAUGAGCACGCAGACUGUAAUAAUCAGAAUUGUUAUUUGAUAAAAUUAGGAAAUGAUUGGGAGGGAUACUCCUGAUGCCAUUUACGAUAGUACCAAAAUAAUAUUAUUGUAGUCAAAAAUUGCUUUCGAAUGUUUCAGCAAAGGUAGAGCUAUAGCUUUAAAAAUAUAUAUAGAAAACUUUGGCCAGUUUUGAACUAUUUUCGCGUCAGGAUGUGUGUUUUUAUCCUAUUGCGGCUGUCUCACACUGGAUUACCUCGGAUGUGCUUCUUGGUAUUGAAUGCUCAUCCUGUCUUUGUAUGUGUGUGUGAGUGUGUGUGGUCAGUUUUAGAAGUUGUUUAUUCUAAUAAACUCACAGACUGCAAAGGAUUUAUUGAGUGUCCGUGGAUUCAGUGUUAUCAGUUUCCGUGCCCUCACACGAUGUGCAGUUUUCAUGUAUAUUCACUUUUUUUGCUAAAUUAUGCAGAAAGCAAUCAAAUCAACCCUCCCGUCGUCAAUGAAUUUGAUGAAUGGUUCUUCGGGGAUAGUGAAGAGUUGUUUUCGGUAGUCUCGCUUUCUUCGUUUGUCGUGCAUCGUUUUGCAGCAUUAUGGGCUUCAUUUUGAUGUGCCGUGCUUCAAAGUUGAGUGCUGUUUAUUUCAUGGGAUCUGUCUUAUUGUGUUUUGCUUUUGGUGACAUUUUGCAUAUUUGUUUGUUCUGAUCUCUAUAAGCUGGCAAAUUAUUGAGACAUGACAGCUUAUUUUGAAUAAAUCAAAGAAUAGAAACUCAA